UCUCAUUUUCUCCGUACUCUC
This 21-nucleotide non-coding RNA is filed under the name Arabidopsis thaliana (thale cress). Lineage: Eukaryota; Viridiplantae; Streptophyta; Magnoliopsida; Brassicales; Brassicaceae. The record is from RNAcentral.